Molecule: ribosomal RNA, 503 nt
Filed under: uncultured bacterium
Lineage: Bacteria
Description: bacterial SSU rRNA
Rfam family: Bacterial small subunit ribosomal RNA
Source: RNAcentral
AUUGAACGCUGGCGGCGUGCCUAACACAUGCAAGUCGAGCGGUAACAGGUGUAGCAAUACAUGCUGACGAGCGGCGGACGGGUGAGUAACGCUUGGGAAUCUGCCUAUUAGUGGGGGACAACCCGGGGAAACUCGGGCUAAUACCGCAUACGCACUACGGUGGAAAGCCGGGGACCGCAAGGCCUGGCGCUAACAGAUGAGCCCAAGUCGGAUUAGCUAGUUGGUAGGGAACGGCCUACCAAGGCGACGAUCCGUAACUGGUCUGAGAGGACGACCAGUCACACCGGAACUGAGACACGGUCCGGACUCCUACGGGAGGCAGCAGUGGGGAAUAUUGGACAAUGGGCGAAAGCCUGAUCCAGCGACGCCGCGUGGGUGAAGAAGGCCUGCGGGUUGUAAAGCCCUUUCAGUGGGGAAGAAAAGCCUCGAGCUAACACCUCGGGGUCUUUGACGUAACCCAUAGAAGAAGCACCGGCUAACUCUGUGCCAGCAGCCGCAGUAAC